GUGGGGAAUAUUGGACAAUGGGCGCAAGCCUGAUCCAGCCAUACCGCGUGGGUGAAGAAGGCCUUCGGGUUGUAAAGCCCUUUUGUUGGGAAAGAAAUCCUGUCGAUUAAUACUCGGUGGGGAUGACGGUACCCAAAGAAUAAGCACCGGCUAACUUCGUGUCAGCAGCCGCGGUAAUACGAAGGGUGCAAGCGUUACUCGGAAUUACUGGGCGUAAAGCGUGCGUAGGUGGUGGUUUAAGUCUGCUGUGAAAGCCCUGGGCUCAACCUGGGAAUUGCAGUGGAUACUGGAUCACUAGAGUGUGGUAGAGGGAUGCGGAAUUUCUGGUGUAGCAGUGAAAUGCGUAGAGAUCAGAAGGAACAUCCGUGGCGAAGGCGGCAUCCUGGGCCAACACUGACACUGAGGCACGAAAGCGUGGGGAGCAAACAGGAUUAGAUACCCGAGUAGUCC
Molecule: ribosomal RNA, 450 nt
Filed under: uncultured bacterium
Lineage: Bacteria
Description: partial 16S ribosomal RNA
Rfam family: Bacterial small subunit ribosomal RNA
Source: RNAcentral